Non-coding RNA from Parasteatoda tepidariorum (common house spider), 3604 nucleotides. Lineage: Eukaryota; Metazoa; Arthropoda; Arachnida; Araneae; Theridiidae. The record is from RefSeq and is a predicted model, not a curated record.
UUAAAAAUUUAUUUUGAACUUAACUUUUAAGUUAAAAAUUAUCUUCUGACGUUUGAUGAUGUUUAAUUAUUUUCUUGUUUUAAGUAUUAUUUGCCCUCUGGUGUUUCUGAAAAUUGAGAUUAAUGUAUGAGAUUUUUCUCACAGAACCUUGCAUCUCUAUUUGAUAGCAAAAGGAAUCCCCGUUUUGUUAUUCUGAUAACAACUAGUUCUAUUCACUAACUAAAUUUGAGAUGGUCAGUAAAAAGUACUUUAAUAUAAAAAUAAUAAUAAAAUCAAACAAAGGUGUAGGGUUAUUAUUUGUUAUUAGCCAAUUAAUAAAGGUUUUACAGAAUUAAGAUAAUUUUAAAUGUGUGUUCUUUUUUAUCACUGACAUUAUUUUAUUUAACAACUUAUUAUUCGGAACUUGUUAAAAGUUUUGUAAUUAGAAUUUUUAUGACAAAUUUGCCAAAACUAAGUGAACUGUGUGAUAUAUUUUAGGAAUCUCUUUAUAUUGUUAUACCUGUUAAUAACUUACAAUGAAUGUAAUAAAGAAAAGCUACUUAUAUUGAAUUGUUGCUGUUUCAACUGUGACUAUGGAGCUUGAUAAUAUUGGUAUACAGGAGUCAGAAUUUCUAUAAAAACCUCAACUACAACCAGUGAAAGAAAUUCAAAAUAUAAUGAAUUGCUUAUAGUUAAAUAAGUGCUUCUUACAAAUAUUUAUAUUUAUUUAGUUGGUGCUGCAAUUUUUUUUGCCAUUUCAAGUAAGUCAACAAUAAGAUAUGAAAAUUGAGUCCGCUGUGAUAAAAUUAUUUCAAUAAUAAUGCAUAAUAUGUAAAAUGCAAUGGUAUAAAAGAUUACAAAUUUGUAUAAAAUUAAUGGACAGUUCUUUUUUAUUUUUAGAAAGCUUAAUUUUUAUAAAACUGAAUUCUUCAUUUGAGUGAAUAUUACUAGGUAAAUCAAGUGUGAACAAGAAUAAAACUUCUAAGAGGCGGUGCCGAUUUAAAAGAGUUGAUUUAUUAUCUUAUUGCUACUUUUACUAAUAAGACAGGAGAAAACUGAAAUUGUUUGUUAGGCUAUUGUUCCCCCAAUUGCCUAAAACUAACAUUUUCCAUUUUUAUACCUCCUUUCAAAUUUAUGAACAGCUUUCUUAAUAUUUGCUCCAUGCAUAUGAUAUUUAAAUUUGCAGUUGAAAGUUUUUUUUUUUUAAGAAUGGAUUCUGUGGACUACCUUUGCAGGUGUGAAAAUAAUAGAGAGAUUUUACAUUCUCACUUAGCAUCUUGCGUGGUACACAAGCACUGUAGUUGAGAUGGUUCUGUAGUAGCUGCACAGAAUCUAUUUAAAAGUGCAAAAUCUCUCUGACAUUCAUGAGUAUUGUUUUUGUUUCUGUCUGUGUCAAUGGUCUGGUGUGUAAUAAUACAGAGUGAUAUUUUGAAUUUUCUCUGUUAUUAGAUCUAAAUACUUAUUCUGUGAUGUUAUUUUGAAAGUUUUUUUCUAAUUAUUUUUUUUUUUCGAAUCAUAUUUGUCUAAAAUUAUCGAACAAAGUUCUGAUUCUGACAAAUAUUGUUGAAACAUAAUAAAAUAACAUGUUAAACGUCUUGUUGAAAACACUCAAAUUACUUCGUUCAAGAACAUGUUAAGAAUAAGAUGCAAAUAUGAAGCAUUAAUUUUUUCUGAAAAUUCUUUCAGUGGAUUGUAAUUGAAUGUAAUAUGCUCUGCAUGUGCUUUAGAAUUGAUUUUUUGAAAUUCGCUAUUUAAAAGGGAACUGCUGUGUUUAGAAAAAAUAUUCUGUAACACUUCUCUGUUCCCGGGAAAGUUUAUGAAAUUCCUCUCUGUUGCUAUGCAACUGAAAAAAAGGACAAAAUUUUUGAUUAUUGCUAACCAGCUUGGAUUAUCACAGAAGAAAACCAUUUUUUGGUUUGACAUGCAUCUCUACAAAGAUUUUUUAUUUUUAUUAAUUAGUUAUAAGUACAAAGCUGCUACGAUGUACUUUUUUGCUUAAAAAACAAUUAUAAAACAGUAUUCCUCUAUUUAUCUAAGUGAUAUUGGUUUAUUAUUAUUGAUAAUUUAUUUUCUAUUUUAAUAUGAGGAGUGACAGUCAUAAGGUACAAACCAAUUAAAAUCUGGUAUGUUUACAAUAGUUUCAGAGUUUAAUGAAAAUUUAUUUGUCGAAAAGUUAAAGUAAUGCUUUUUUUUUAAUGUUUCUACAAUUUCAAUAUUUUUGAGUUAAAAACUUUAAUUUUAAGAGCUGGUGUAUUAAUCCAGUGUUAUGAUUAUUUAUGUUUUAAUUUAUAAUUUAAGUACGAUAGUUUUUAAUUCAUACUAUUCAGGAAUCAGUGUCCUUAAUGUUGUUGCAGGUUGGUAAAAAAAAGAAAGAAUUAUUGAAAUUUAAAAAUUUACUUUUUUACUUAAAAGUUGAGGUAGUGAUUUUUUAAAAUACUUUUAAAAUUUAAAUAUUUUUGAGAUUUAAAACUCCAUGAUUAUAUAUUUUUUUAAAUAGUAUUUCCUUUUCAAAAGAAUGGAAGGCACUAGUACUGGAUUGUGGAUAGUGAUAUAUUUUUAUGCUAAAGUGAGAUUGCAUUAUUUAUUUUCGUGCUUGAUUAUACACUUUGUUAAUAAAAUGGGCGUCUCAAGGUUACGUAAUUUCCACACUCCAUUACCAUGGCUUUGGUAAAUCUUGCUUUCUAUGCUAGUACAUUUUAGUACAAAGUACAAACUUGGAAAAUACUCGCCUGUGGGAAAAGUAAGAUUUACCAAAACCAUGGUGACGGAGAGGGAGAAAGUGUGGAGAAUGAGGAAAUAGUGUAACUUUGAGAUGCCUAUUUUAGUUACAAAAAGUAUAGUGUUCCUAACUACUUGUAAAGUGAUAUCCCACUUACUGUAACUUGUAGUUUAAUUUAUUAUUAGUGAUAUUUUUUUUUAAAAAAGGAAGUUUUAUUCUAAUUUUUUAUGAUUUAAUUUUUUUUCUUUUACUUUGUGUUGAUUAUUUAUGUAUGCUUAAUUUUAUUGAACGAAAAUUGCCAAAAGAGUUAUGCCAUUUCUUUAUGAAUACAAAUUGUUAAAUAAGAUGUAUUUAAAAAAACCAAUAUUUUCCAUCUUGUCAUUCAUAGUUUAACAGAAUAUAUUUUAAUUGUUAAGUCACAAAUUAGAGUUGUGGAGUUGAUAGUUGGUCAGAAGGUGGCUUUAGAUUCCAAAAUUAAACUCUAUUAAAAUUUUAACUGAACCCCAGUAAAAGUAAUUGAUAUAAUUACUAAAUAAAUGUUUAUUUCAAGUAACAUAUUACUACUAUUUUUAUGUUAGAUUAUAGUAAAUGUUUUUUUCUUCUAAAUAAUAUUUGAUAUAACAAACAUUUAUUUAAAAAAGUUAAAAAGUUGUUAAUCUAUUUGAUAAUCAACUCCCUGCGAAAUGGUCUUCAACUUUUGACUCCACAGCCCUGGUUAUAAAACAAUGUGAUGAGAACUUUUGUUGCUAAUUGUGCUCACAAAGUGCUUUGGAAAAUAAUACAUAUCUUCUUUGCAAUUGUUGCUUUUGUUUAAUUAUUUGAAAAGCAUGUUUUAUAUAUGUAAUAAUCAGAAUUUAGCUUAUUUUUACUCUACUUAACCGACUGUAAUAAAACACGUUUUAUUAA